GCUGAGGAAGGUUGCCCAACCUUAUUCAGGCAGGAAGUGUGAAAAGAUUUAAGAAGCUUGGGUCACAUGGUAUACAAUAUGACCAGUGAAGCCCAUGUUCAUGGACCCACUCAUGCAUCCUCCAGUGGUCCUCCAAGCAGACACCAAGAAGAACAUUCGAUGCGCAGAGGAUGUACUGGGAGAAACUCAUAUGAAGGUCAUCAUGAUAUGGAUGUCCAUCUCAAUCAGUAUCCGUUGUGGCCUGCUGCUCUCCGAAAUAAGCUGACCUGUGUGAAAUCUAUCUUAACUAGCCACCCUCUGUCGAACUGCCAGUAGCAGAUGUUUUCAUCCUCUAGCCCCUCCAUCACACUGAGUAGGCUGUACCUUGGAAUUUCAGGUGGUGGAAAGCAGUAAGAGUUUGAAGAAAUCCUCAGUGCACAAAGAUCAGAGGGAAUUUUUCAACCAAUGAAAGGAUCACAAUGAAACCACCUUCAGCUAAAAUUAUACUUAAUUUUAAAAGGCCAUUAAGAUGAGGAAUAAGGUAAACAAACAGUGUUAUAGGACCACAGAAGUGAGGCUGUAUCUAAUUUAUAUUCUAAGUGAUAAGCAGAAAUGUCUGAUUCUGAAGAGGAUGCACAGUACUCGAGACUAAACAUCUUGAUGAGAAUACAGGAUUACCUAAAACAUUACACCAUAAAACACCAUGGUAUUACUACAGCUCAGUUUGAGACACUGCCAGAAGCCUACUCUCAAAGAAGCUUACAGGAAUAUGGAAAAUGUGAAAGGCAUGGGGGUGAGUAA
This is a long non-coding RNA of Orcinus orca (killer whale), 780 nucleotides long. RefSeq lists it as uncharacterized. The record is from RefSeq and is a predicted model, not a curated record. NCBI's taxonomy places the organism in Eukaryota, Metazoa, Chordata, Mammalia, Artiodactyla, Delphinidae. The transcript is spliced from 7 exons.